Molecule: ribosomal RNA, 468 nt
Filed under: uncultured bacterium
Lineage: Bacteria
Description: partial 16S ribosomal RNA
Rfam family: Bacterial small subunit ribosomal RNA
Source: RNAcentral
GACGAACGCUGGCGGCGUGCUUAACACAUGCAAGUCGAACGGAAAGGCCCUGCUUUUGUGGGGUGCUCGAGUGGCGAACGGGUGAGUAACACGUGAGUAACCUGCCCUUGACUUUGGGAUAACUUCAGGAAACUGGGGCUAAUACCGGAUAGGAGCUCCUGCUGCAUGGUGGGGUUUGGAAAGUUUCGGCGGUUGGGGAUGGACUCGCGGCUUAUCAGCUUGUUGGUGGGGUAGUGGCUUACCAAGGCUUGGACGGGUAGCCGGCCUGAGAGGGUGACCGGCCACAUUGGGACUGAGAUACGGCCCAGACUCCUACGGGAGGCAGCAGUGGGGAAUAUUGCACAAUGGGCGGAAGCCUGAUGCAGCAACGCCGCGUGCGGGAUGACGGCCUUCGGGUUGUAAACCGCUUUCGCCUGUGACGAAGCGUGAGUGACGGUAAUGGGUAAAGAAGCACCGGCUAACUACGUG